This 377-nucleotide ribosomal RNA is filed under the name Encyonema cespitosum. RNAcentral describes it as "SSU rRNA". It matches the Rfam family "Eukaryotic small subunit ribosomal RNA", at positions 582 to 971 of the family's 1831-position model. The record is from RNAcentral. Lineage: Eukaryota; Bacillariophyta; Bacillariophyceae; Cymbellales; Encyonemataceae.
AUUCCAGCUCCAAUAGCGUAUAUUAAAGUUGUUGCAGUUAAAAAGCUCGUAGUUGGAUUUGUGGUGGAUUGUGGUGUCCUCUUUUGGUCUCGCCACGAUCUGCCAUCCUUGGGUGGAACCUGCGUGGCAUUAGGUUGUCGUGUAGGGGAUGCCCACCAUUUACUGUGAAAAAAUCAGCGCGUUCAAAGCAGGCUUAUGCCGUUGAAUGUAUUAGCAUGGAAUAAUAAGAUAGGACCUUGGUACUAUUUUGUUGGUUUGUGCACCGAGGUAAUGAUUAAUAGGGACAGUUGGGGGUAUUCGUAUUCCAUUGUCAGAGGUGAAAUUCUUGGAUUUCUGGAAGACGAACUACUGCGAAAGCAUUUACCAAGGAUGUUUUC